AAUACAGGGUUCUCUUGAACCAAGAAGAGAAAUGCCAGACCCAGACUGGGAAGGACAGGAUGACUUCCUGAAAAGACAAUACUCAGGCUGAGACCUGAAGAUUCACUCAGAAUUCGUUCUAUGAAGAGUACAAGGAGGGACUGUCAUCCUCAGUGAAGAGAGCCAUAUGGAUGAAGACCCAGAGUCAUUGCUCUGGAGGCAGCAAACUGCCAUGUUGUGAGUAGCCUAUCAGGCAUAUGUGCCAAGGAACUGAUGUCUCUGACCAACGACCAGUGAGGACUUGAGGCCUAUAAACAGCAACACAAGUGAGUCUGUGAGCAGAUCCCCUAGUAUUUGGCCUUGAGAUGAUCACAGCCCUAGCUGACACUUUACAGCCUUGUGACCCUGAGUCAGAGGCCCCCAGCUACGCCUCAGAAACUAUGAGAUGGUAAAUAUAUGUUGUUUGAGUGGCUAAAUUUUGGGGUAAUUUGUUACACAGCAAUUGUUAACUAACAACUCCACUGGAAUGUAAGCUCCAUGGAGGAACUGACUUGACUUGUUUGGCACUCUAUCCCAAGCAGGUAGAAUAAUGCCUGGCACACAGAGGCACUCAAUAAACACUGAGCAUGAGUAAUGAAUAUUAGAGUUGGGUGGAGGACACUUAGUUUCCCAAAAUAUGUGGAUGGAAGUUUCAGCCAAUGUUGAUGUUUGAAGCUAAGGCUGUUCAGGGUCAAAGGUGACUCCAGAGGUCUCAGGAGUAGUCAAGUAACAGACAUCUGGUAAUGCCAGACUCAGUACUAAUCUCUUGACCAUAAUUAUUGAUGCUGGUGUACGUUGCUUAGCAAACCUUCACUGAGUGCCUGGACAAGCUCAAGCUGAGGGUGGGGAAAAACAUUACAGCCUCUGUGUGCGUUUGGAAUAAUGACCCAAACCUCCCACACUUUCCUCAUCUGUAAAGACCUCCAGGGCUGUUGGUAAUCCAGAGAAUAAAAUAAAUAAUGGGCUAUGGUUUGUUCUCAAUAAGUGGUGCUCUCCUUCCUCACAGGGAGCUUAUUAUAUGAGGAGAUAAGAUUCAUACAUAAGAAAGAUAAAUAACAUGGGGUGUAAUGUUUUGUUAAGUACCAGAUGUUUUUGAGGCAGGAGCUAUAAUGGAAUAAUGAAUUAUUUGCUGGUUCUCCCUUCCGUAGUGCGGGGUGUUGGGUGCACAUGUGUCACUUGG
RNAcentral lists this long non-coding RNA (1198 nucleotides) under Equus caballus (horse). Its description in RNAcentral is "lncRNA (ENSECAG00000051560.1)". Lineage: Eukaryota; Metazoa; Chordata; Mammalia; Perissodactyla; Equidae. The record is from RNAcentral.